AGUAAAUCAGAGGGCUCUUCGGCUUUAUCCCAGCGUCCUUCUGGCCCCGAGACGGCUGGAGCAGAUGUUGGAGCCCGGGACAAAAUGGAUUUCCCCCUGCCGAGAGCAGCUUUUCUUGCCCUUCUUAAUGGAGGCUCCUUGAAAUGCUAAUGCCAUCACAUUACUGCAGCGGUGGUCCGGCAUAGUGAUGGUGGGAACAAAAAGCCACCCUUUUGUCACUGGAAAUAUACUUCACUUCAUUAGGAGAACUGCCAGCUAGCUUGUGGUCCAAGAUAGCAAGUUGAUGACUCACUCAUGGGCCUUGCUGGACCAACCAAUGUCAAGUUCAUUUGGGCCAUGCCAUGGGAUCAGAUGGGCACUCCGAAUGCUGUGGAACCAAAAGAAGCUAACUAGCACCCCCUUUUGAAAGAGAAAAACAGCAUUUCAUCCUUGGACUCGUCUGCUCGUCUGAUCCAUUUCUGACUUGGCCAGCACUCCACGUGGGAAGGAGGAGGGAAGCGCGAAAGAAGUCUUUGAAAUGCUGGAGUUCCAUGAAGAAUUCAGAAGCAGGAUGGAUUCAAAGGCUUCUGCUGGAGGAAAGGAAGGAAGUGGAGAAACAAAACUUGGGUGAGUCUGCUUGUCGAGAAACAAAGAGCAUGAGUAUCUGAUUUUCAUUGUGACACUUCUUAGCUAGCAUGUAAAAAAGUAUUCAAAGGUUUGUUUACCUCUUCUCAUUUUCAACAACCUGGCAAAAGCUUCACCAGAAAAAUACAAAAGAAAGAACGUUCCUCUCAUCCUGACAUCAUAUGAUGUCCAAGCUGCCCUCUCGGUGCUUGGCAAACAACUCAAACUUUUGAUCAUGACAAUACUUUAUGUUGUUAGAGCCUCAUUUUUAUGACAUUCUUGCUUGUUUUUAAUCAGUGCAUCAAAAUGUUUAUUCGUUUGUGGCCAAUUCAAUCAUUAAUCAUUUAUCCUCAAUCUCACUGUAUUCAGCAUUCUGAUCUUUUUAUUUUUGAAAACUGCAAGUCAGUAAAUGACUUAACAUGUUUCAAAAAAAAAAUGAUGGAAAUGGAUUUUAUGUUCGUGCCUCCGCCUAUAUUUGCAGCGAUGGUGGCAGCUGAAGACCAUUCUGUCCAGGUGGCCUUGAGAACGCCAUGACUUUACA
This is a long non-coding RNA of Syngnathus acus (greater pipefish), 1144 nucleotides long. RefSeq lists it as uncharacterized. The record is from RefSeq and is a predicted model, not a curated record. The transcript has 4 exons. Lineage: Eukaryota; Metazoa; Chordata; Actinopteri; Syngnathiformes; Syngnathidae.